RNAcentral lists this ribosomal RNA (442 nucleotides) under uncultured bacterium. RNAcentral's name for it is "partial 16S ribosomal RNA". It matches the Rfam family "Bacterial small subunit ribosomal RNA", at positions 338 to 795 of the family's 1533-position model. The record is from RNAcentral.
CCUACGGGUGGCAGCAGUGGGGAAUAUUGGGCAAUGGGCGCAAGCCUGACCCAGCAACGCCGCGUGAAGGAAGAAGGCUCUCGGGUUGUAAACCUUCUUUAAGAGGGAAGAGCAGAAGACGGUACCUCUUGAAUAAGCCAUGGCUAACUACGUGCCAGCAGCUGCGGUAAUACGGAGGUGGCAAGUGUUAUCCGGAUUUACUGGGUGUAAAGGGCGUGUAGCCGGGCUGACAAGUCAGAUGUGAAAUUCCGGGGCUCAACCCCGGACCUGCAUUUGAAACUGUUGGUCUUGAGUAUCGGUGAGGCAGGCGGAAUUCCUGGUGUAGCGGUGAAAUGCGUAGAUAUUAGGAGGAACACCAAUGGCGAAGGCGGCCUGCUAGACGGCAACUGACGGUGAGGCGCGAAAGCGUGGGGAGCAAACAGGAUUAGAUACCCUAGUAGUC